RNAcentral lists this ribosomal RNA (484 nucleotides) under uncultured bacterium. Its description in RNAcentral is "partial 16S ribosomal RNA". It matches the Rfam family "Bacterial small subunit ribosomal RNA", at positions 30 to 507 of the family's 1533-position model. The record is from RNAcentral.
AUUGAACGCUGGCGGCAGGCCUAACACAUGCAAGUCGAGCGGAUGAAGGGAGCUUGCUCCUGGAUUCAGCGGCGGACGGGUGAGUAAUGCCUAGGAAUCUGCCUGGUAGUGGGGGAUAACGUCCGGAAACGGGCGCUAAUACCGCAUACGUCCUGAGGGAGAAAGUGGGGGAUCUUCGGGCCUCACGCUAUCAGAUGAGCCUAGGUCGGAUUAGCUAGUUGGUGGGGUAAAGGCCUACCAAGGCGACGAUCCGUAACUGGUCUGAGAGGAUGAUCAGUCACACUGGAACUGAGACACGGUCCAGACUCCUACGGGAGGCAGCAGUGGGGAAUAUUGGACAAUGGGCGAAAGCCUGAUCCAGCCAUGCCGCGUGUGCGAAGAAGGUCUUCGGAUUGUAAAGCACUUUAAGUUGGGAGGAAGGGCAGUAAGUUAAUACCUUGCUGUUUUGACGUUACCAACAGAAUAAGCACCGGCUAACUUCGUG